Vicia faba (fava bean) is the source of this 222-nucleotide non-coding RNA. The record is from the annotation of a GenBank genome assembly. NCBI's taxonomy places the organism in Eukaryota, Viridiplantae, Streptophyta, Magnoliopsida, Fabales, Fabaceae.
AUGCUAAGUUUCACUCUCAGUUCCCGCAAAUUGCCCAUGAUUAGCUUUGUUUUGGACUUGACUUUUUUUUUUCUCUUUGAGAAAUAUUCUACCUUGGUGAAUACUUGCAUAAUGAGAUUUUGGUUUUUGAUUAUUAUUUACGGACUAGUUUAUGUUGUAUGGUUAUUGUAUCGAGCAUUACCACCGAGCAAAGGCCUGAGUUUUGAGGUGUGGUUCAGAUAA